This is a long non-coding RNA of Vigna radiata var. radiata (mung bean), 435 nucleotides long. RefSeq lists it as uncharacterized. The record is from RefSeq and is a predicted model, not a curated record. NCBI's taxonomy places the organism in Eukaryota, Viridiplantae, Streptophyta, Magnoliopsida, Fabales, Fabaceae. The transcript has 3 exons.
GGUCAAGGUGCUCUUGAUGGAGAGAGUGGGAGGUCCUAAGAAAGGUCUGGCUAUGGUGGGCCUCGCGGUCCUUAUCGUGGGGGACGUGGAGGUUUUGGUGAUGGGGAAGCUGGUGAAGAUGGGCAACCACGACGAGUCUAUGAACGUCGCAGUGGGAGAGGGAACUGGGGACUACCAACUGAUGAACUUGCCCAGGCAACUGAUGAUGUAAAUGAAACUGCUAAGAAUUUUGGCGAAGAAAAGCCUUCUGGUGAUAAUAAUGAUGUUGCUGCUGAUGGAAACAAGGAGAAUCCUGCUAAUGAGGAUGAAGAAAAAGAGCCUGAGGAUAAGCAUGAACGAGUUUCUGAAGAGAAAGCUUCUAUAGAGCACGUGGACGUGGACGUGGUCGAGGAAGAGGUGGUCAUGGUGGGUAUCCAAAAGCCAACGUUCCAGGUC